CCCGGCAGCAACUGCAUUCCAGUGUCCGAACAGGAAACCUGGAAACCUGCCUGCGCCUUCUCUCCUUGGGGGCCCAAGCCAACUUCUUCCACCCGGAGAAGGGGACCACACCUUUGCACGUGGCUGCCAAAGCUGGCCAGGUGCUCCAGGCUGAGUUGCUGGUGGUGUAUGGAGCUGAUCCGGGCGCUCCCGACAUAAACGGCCGGACACCCAUCGACUAUGCCAGACAGGCGUCCCAACACGAACUGGCGGAGCGGCUGGUGGAGUGCCAGUAUGAGCUGACCGACCGACUGGCCUUCUACCUUUGCGGGCGCAAGCCAGAUCACAAGAACGGGCAUUACAUCAUCCCCCAGAUGGCAGACAGGUAAGAGCUCCUCCCCCUCCCCUUUAACACCCCCCCUCCCUUUCUGCCCUUUGAGGGAAGACAUGCUGCCCCCUUGUGGCCAUUCUGGGCCAGGUGUCGCCCAUCUGGGAUCCUGUCCCAAAAUUGAUUUUUCUC
Notechis scutatus (mainland tiger snake) is the source of this 499-nucleotide non-coding RNA. NCBI's taxonomy places the organism in Eukaryota, Metazoa, Chordata, Lepidosauria, Squamata, Elapidae. The record is from RefSeq and is a predicted model, not a curated record.